Molecule: non-coding RNA, 28 nt
Filed under: Homo sapiens (human)
Lineage: Eukaryota; Metazoa; Chordata; Mammalia; Primates; Hominidae
Source: RNAcentral
GACCACUUGCACUGCAGAUAUAAGGCCA